ACGAUUCGAUAUCGAUUCACGGGGAAAAAACGCGUCAUCGAUCCAAAAACAUGUGGAUCGAUUUUUUUAAAUAAGUGUCUGCACUAUUUUCUUGAACGCGAAAGGGACUAUUUUCUCCAAUGUGCAAGGAGCACUAUAAGAAGCGCUUCCCGGCAAAACGAAACUUAAGGAAAUAUCAAGAUGGACGAAGCUGCAGAUAUAAGAACACCGCGGGGAAUGAAGUCAGAUGUGUGGAAACACUUCGGCUUCAAACGGUAUGGGGACAGAGAUGAGCUGGACAAAAUAAACGCAGUGUGCAAGUUGUGCCAACUAGAAAUAAAAUAUCUGGGCAAUACCACCAACCUUAGGAACCAUAUAUCCAGGCAUCACCCCGAGUUAGCUAGUGCUAAAUUAUCUGACACGAAACAGACUGUACUUGACGCUGCUUUUGGUGUUAAAUUCCCCUCACAGUCUAAGCGUGCUUUGAGCCUUACAGAGGGAGUCGGAAUCUUUAUUUGUAAAGACCUCCGCCCCUACAGCGUAGUCGAAACGAUGGGUUUCGGCUACUAGUAAAAAGGUUAGAGCCACGCUACGUCUUGCCCAGCCGAAAACACCUAAGCGAGAGAGUCAUUCCAGAUAUGUAUGCAAAGUCAAAAGAUGCCGUUGCCAACUCGUUGCACUGUGCUGAGAGAGUAGCGUUGACAUGCGACUGCUGGACAUCUAGAAAUACAAUAUCAUAUCUGACGAUUACGUGCCAUUACAUUGACGAACAAUGGAGGCUAGCUUCUAGUGUUCUACAGACCAGAGCAGUGGAAACGAGCCACACUGCAAGUAACCUCGCUGACCUGCUCACUGAAGCCAUACAGAAAUGGGACAUAUCUGACAAAGACCCCGCAAUUGUUACAGAUAAUGCAGCGAACAUCGUGAGAGCAGUGCAAUUAACGGGGAAUUUUCAUAUGGGGUGUUUUGCGCAUCUCAUCAACUUGGCAUCGCAAGCAGGUCUAAAAACUCCCGCUGCCGCGCGUCUGCUCGGGCGAGUAAGGCGAAUUGUGUCAUUUUUUCACCGAAGCCCCACUGCAAGCCACGCACUAAAGGAGAAGCAACAACUUCUUCAGUUGCCUCAACACAAGCUCGUGGUGGACGUCACGACCAGAUGGAACAGCUCCCUGGAUAUGAUCAAACGCUUCCUUGAGCAGCAGCCUGCCAUCUCGGCAGCGCUGCUUUCACCCGAAGUCCGCAGGAGGGAAAGCGACAUCUGCACCUUAACGGAGACAGACAUCACCACCGCAGAGGACAUGGUGAAAUGCCUCAGCCCAAUGAAGACUGCCACACUCGCCAUCUCUGAGGAAGCAUCUCCAACUAUGCCCAUGGUUGCACCACUGCAGUUCCAACUUCUGAGACAGAUGGCAUUGGAUGGGGGACUCUGCUGUGAUCAAGGAGCUCAAAACAGCUGUUCAUGACAACUUGAGUUCAAGGUAUGUUCAUUUAACAUUUCGUGUUUGUGUACAUGCCUGUUUCAUCUGUAUGCAUUUACUGUAGGCAUAACAUGAUAGUAUAUACAAUGCAUGCAUGUAUGUUCUAUCUAUCUAUCUAUCUAUCUAUCUAUCUAUCUAUUUAUCUAUUUAUCUAAAGUGAUAUUUGUCCCUCUGUAUAGAUAUGAAGCUCUGAUGGAUGCCUUGUGUGUAGCAUCAUCACUGGAUCCGCGUUUUAAGACUCUGCCCUUUCUGUCUGAUGAGGCACGUGAUGCUGUCUUCCUGAAACUGUCCUCUGAAGCUGCUCAUCUGAAGCAAUCAAAUGAUGAAACUACACCAGAGCAAGAAGACACCUCCCCAACUGAUGCGGCGAUGCCUGUACCAACUCAACCAAAGAGGCAAAAACAGUCAUCUGCUCUUAUGGCUUUACUGGGGUCAUCCUACACACCAGAGACUCCACCACAAAGGAAAACUCCCUCUGAAAGGGCUGAGGAAGAGGUCACCAUCUACAGGAAAGUACCCUCUAUUCAUCUCUCUCAAAAUCCACUGACAUGGUGGCAGGUGCAUGCAGAGGAAUUUCCUCUUCUGGCAGGCCUAGCAAAAAGGUAUCUUUGUAUACCCGGGACCAGUGUCCCAUCAGAGAGAGUUUUCUCAACCACUGGUGACAUUGUUAGUGCUCAAAGGAGCUGCCUCACUCCACAGCACGUAGACCAGCUUCUUUUUCUCCAGAAAAAUUUCAAAAUUCCUGAAGACUAGAACUUUUACCUGUGAAACAUAAUUUCUUACUUGCAGUGGUUGUGGACCUACUGCUUUUUUUUGUUUUUUUUAUGGUCAUUGUUGGUUUGUUCUGGUCUUGUUUUACUCCUGCCAGGAGUAUGUUAUUCAACCAAGAGUGCCACCAACUGUCAUGUUACACUCUGAGGCAGAUCAGUUUUUCUGUUCAUUUAAUCCUGCUAUGGGUAUGUUAUUCGACCAAGAGAUGGCCACCCACUGUUAUGGUUAGAUACACUCUGACUUAUCAGUCAAGCACAAUUCCUUGACUGAUGAGCUUUUUUUUUUCUUUGAGGUCAGAAACCCAGCCCUGGGUAUGUUAUUUGACUAAAAGAGGGCCACCAAAUGUCAGUUUUUAUUUAGACUUCAAAUAAAACCUGGAUAUGUUUUCAUUUCAAAAUAAAUAACCUUACUUUCAAAUUUGAAAUCUUGUCUCUCUGUGUGUCCUUCUUACACAUACACAGAUACAAGCACAAACACACAUGGGGCUAUCUUUUAAUAGGGUGAGUUUUUAUUUAAUCCAGCAAUAUUAAUACAAUGAAUCGAUAUCGAAUCGAAUCGGAUCGAAUCGUGGAUCGAAUCGGAUCGGGACCUAAUGAAUCGAAAUCGAAUCGAUCCAGGAAAUCUGGAUCGAUUCCCAGCCCUAUUGCAGACGCUGAGGAGAAUAAAAUCCCACCAAAACAGAAGAGACGCAGACUGCAACCAGCAGAAGAUGGAGCAUCUUCUGGAGUCAGUGCUGUGAGGCAUUCUUCCAAAGGUAAGACUCCACACAAAAGGAAUCCAUGGCAGCCAGCAGAGGUAAAGGCAGUCGAGAAGCACAUGAAGGCAUUAAUCCGUGGUUGCAUUGUGCCAUCAAAAAGCGAUUGCGAAAAGUGUUUAAGAGCAGAGCCUGAAGCUCUCAAGAACAGAGACUGGCAAAACGUGAAGUUUUUUGUUUACAACCGUAUUACCGCCUACAAACGGAAGAUGUCGCUAAAGUAGGUUGGACAUGUCCUGUUUCUUUCAGGUGUUGUAAGCAAUAUAACUGGCUGAGUGAUGUCUAGUUCUAAUGCAUACCUCCAAGUUUCUUUCAAGUGUUGUUAGCAGUAUAAUUUGCUGACUGAUGUUUAGUUCUAAUGCAUACUGCCACAUUUCUUUCAGGUGUUGUCAGUGAUAUAAUUGGUUGACUGAUGUUUAGUCAUAAUGCAUACUGCCAAGUCUUUUCUUUGUCAUUGAAUAAGCAGUUUAUUUUGUUUCUUAGUCAGUGUUACUUUAUUGCAGCAUUGCUGGAAUAAAAAAGUUGAGUCAUACAAUUCAA
Acanthopagrus latus (yellowfin seabream) is the source of this 3519-nucleotide long non-coding RNA. RefSeq lists it as uncharacterized. The transcript has 3 exons. Lineage: Eukaryota; Metazoa; Chordata; Actinopteri; Spariformes; Sparidae. The record is from RefSeq and is a predicted model, not a curated record.